AACACACUGCCACCGGGUAGAGUAAUGCAUAAAGCAUUCGUAACAUAUCGUUAGGUCUUAGAAGAUAUGUCACGGAUGCUUUUUUGGGA
RNAcentral lists this non-coding RNA (89 nucleotides) under unclassified sequences. The record is from RNAcentral.